RNAcentral lists this ribosomal RNA (449 nucleotides) under uncultured bacterium. Its description in RNAcentral is "partial 16S ribosomal RNA". It matches the Rfam family "Bacterial small subunit ribosomal RNA", at positions 29 to 523 of the family's 1533-position model. The record is from RNAcentral.
AGCGAACGCUGGCGGCAGGCCUAACACAUGCAAGUCGAACGAACUCUUCGGAGUUAGUGGCGGACGGGUGAGUAACACGUGGGAACGUGCCUUUAGGUUCGGAAUAACUCAGGGAAACUUGUGCUAAUACCGAAUGUGCCCUUCGGGGGAAAGAUUUAUCGCCUUUAGAGCGGCCCGCGUCCGAUUAGCUAGUUGGUGAGGUAAAGGCUCACCAAGGCGACGAUCAGUAGCUGGUCUGAGAGGAUGAUCAGCCACAUUGGGACUGAGACACGGCCCAAACUCCUACGGGAGGCAGCAGUGGGGAAUCUUGCGCAAUGGGCGAAUGCCUGACGCAGCCAUGCCGCGUGAAUGAUGAAGGUCUUAGGAUUGUAAAAUUCUUUCACCGGGGACGAUAAUGACGGUACCCGGAGAAGAAGCCCCGGCUAACUUCGUGCCAGCCGCCGCCGUAA